AGCUGUAAGUAAAAAUCCUGUUGCUUCAGCAGGUCUAACCAGUUUCGUAAAGGGCUUAUAUUUUCUGUAAUGCUACUUCAGGCAGCAAACUUUAAACAGAUUUUUGUUUAAAUAACAUUUAAUGCAAUUCAUGUCGUUAUUCAUUGAAAUUAUUUGGAACAAGAAUUUUUAGCAAAAUUAUAUUUCACUUACAGAUAAAUCCUAUCUUGAAAACUCUUUUGUCAAACAGAUCUCCCUGAAAGCAAUGCUAACACAGCAACUGUGGUGCUGCUUAGAAGGUUGAAUUUCUGUGAAUAUCCAACAAAAUCAUUUUGGCUGUCUCCAAGAGAGCACUAUGUGAGCCAGCUGUCCUGGAUUCCUCCUGCUGUCAACAGUUAAGCAGCAGGGUCACAUGCUGCUGUCCAACUAGUCAAAACUAACACUGCAGCUGAAACAAGCAGCCUGUCUGCUCUGUGAGGUGUGUCAGCUCUUCUCAAAGCACUGUUCCCACCCUCGACUAAUCUAGAAUGAUUUGGUCUGAUCUGGAGAGACUAACUGAAGAGGGUCUUUGCAUGAAGCAGUAGAUAAGACUGUCAUCUCCUAAUGAAUUUGAGGUAGCAU
RNAcentral lists this long non-coding RNA (600 nucleotides) under Cyanistes caeruleus (blue tit). RNAcentral describes it as "lncRNA (ENSCCEG00000014231.1)". Lineage: Eukaryota; Metazoa; Chordata; Aves; Passeriformes; Paridae. The record is from RNAcentral.